Molecule: transfer RNA, 88 nt
Filed under: Zestosphaera tikiterensis
Lineage: Archaea; Thermoproteati; Thermoproteota; Thermoprotei; Desulfurococcales; Desulfurococcaceae
Also listed under: 3 other names
Description: tRNA-Leu
Rfam family: tRNA
About the family: Transfer RNA (tRNA) molecules are approximately 80 nucleotides in length. Their secondary structure includes four short double-helical elements and three loops (D, anti-codon, and T loops).
Source: RNAcentral
GCGGGGGUGCCCGAGCCAGGUCAAAGGGGUCAGGCUGAGGCCCUGAUGGCGUAGGCCUGCGUGGGUUCAAAUCCCACCCCCCGCACCA